RNAcentral lists this long non-coding RNA (1508 nucleotides) under Sus scrofa (pig). RNAcentral describes it as "lncRNA (ENSSSCG00050060915.1)". The record is from RNAcentral. Lineage: Eukaryota; Metazoa; Chordata; Mammalia; Artiodactyla; Suidae.
CGUGCUUUAUGGAGCUAAGCCUUGCCCAGAAGAGGAAAGAAGACAGCAGAGACAGCUCAGGGAGUGUGGCAGGAUGCUGUCAUGACCCUGUGUAAGACUCCAGCUGAGUGCUGUGUGUAUUUAUAGACACACACACACACAGACACGCAGGCAUGGGAAACGUGCCCUGGAACAAACGUACUGUUUGUUUCCUGGAAACAUGCCCUUCCUUGCCAACUUGCCAGAUUUCCCAGAUCACAUCAUCCUGAAGCAGGGAAAAUUAUGUCUUCUUAUUCCUGGCAUCCACCUGCCACAUGAAGAGAGAUCUUUGGAAAACGGAUCUGACCACUUCUCUGCCCUUUGGAAGACUGGAGCGAUUUCACCUUGUCCUCGGGGAACGAGCUUAAAUUCUCGUGAUGCUGAGAAGAGGGCAGGAGCGGAUAAGUCAAGCACACAAACCAUGGAGAAAAACUUAAGGAUACUUUCCACACCCCAAGCAACAGGCACAUCCCUCUGGGGUGCAACCUAGGUAAGUAAGCCCUGACCACACAGGGGUAUGGAUGCCCUCGGCUGCCUAAGGAGAAGCUUGAUUUGAGGUCUAAGGAAGGCAUCUCCCUUGUGGAAAUGGUACCUGACGGUGACCUGGGCUCUGUGGGGGUGGUAGGCAGAUGUAACAACGUGUGUGGUCGCACCGUUUACAAUACCACACCUUCAUAACCAACCACAUCUCAUUUGAUCCUUUUUUUUUUUUUUUUUGGUUUUUUUUUUAGGGCCACACCUGCAGCAUAUGGAAGUUCUGGGACUCAGGGUGGAAUCAGAGCUGCUGCGCAGCUGAGGGGCAACAUGGGAUCCGAGCCACAUCUGCAACCUACACCGCAGCUUGUGGCAACGCCAGAUCCUUUAACUCACUGAGCGUAGCCAGGAUCAAACCCAAAUCCUCACAGAUACUAACUGGGUUCUUCGCACACUGAGCCACAGCAGAAACUCCACACAUUUCAUGUGACCCCAGUGCCUACUCUCUAGGUAGCUUCCUCACCCUCAUUUCUCAGAUGAGGGAAACUGAGGCUCACAGAAUUUUCUGAGUGGCCAGAAACCCAGGGUUUCUGACACACGGUCUUUCCCUUACACGGCAGUUUGGCCUGGGGAAGUCAUGCAAAAUCUCACAGAGCAGGAAACCAUGACUUCUACAGAGACGGCUUCCUCCCAACCCUGGGCAAGGCCCACGGCUGAUGCAAAGUCAUGGUGGUAAAAAGGGAGUGUGCAGGGGGCCACGCUGAUGAGGGCUGGUGGCUGGAUAGCGGCAGGAGCAGCCAAGGGUACUAGGGGGCUGAGCUGGACUAGGCUACUCACCCAGGGUGUGGCUCAGUGCCCAAGGAGAACAGUGAGGCUAUGACUGGCCUAGGGGCUGCCCUGUGCCCAGGAGCAGGGGGCCUAGCCUGAGGGAGGCCUGACUGUAUCCAGAUCUUUGAUGACCACGGGUAAAGAUAAGAUAAAGCCAGUCUCUUAUUUUUAAGCCAGUCAAAGAGAGG